This 665-nucleotide ribosomal RNA is filed under the name uncultured yeast. RNAcentral's name for it is "eukaryotic LSU rRNA". It matches the Rfam family "Eukaryotic large subunit ribosomal RNA", at positions 23 to 673 of the family's 3401-position model. Lineage: Eukaryota; Fungi. The record is from RNAcentral.
ACCCGCUGAACUUAAGCAUAUCAAUAAGCGGAGGAAAAGAAACUAACAAGGAUUCCCCUAGUAACGGCGAGUGAAGCGGGAAGAGCUCAACAUUGUAAUCUGGCUGCUUCGCAGUCCGAGUUGUAGUCUAUAGAAGCAUGAUCCGCGCCGGCCCUUGGGCAUGUCUGUUGGAACGCAGUGUCAAAGAGGGUGAAAAUCCCGUACAUACCAAGGACGACCGUGUGCAUUGUGGUCUGCUCUCUAAGAGUCGAGUUGUUUGGGAAUGCAGCUCUAAUUGGGUGGUAAAUUCCAUCUAAAGCUAAAUAUCGACGAGAGACCGAUAGCGAACAAGUACAGUAAUGGAAAGAUGAAAAGUAGCCUGCAGAGGCAAUGAAACAAUACGUGAAACCGUUUGUAGGGAAGCGAUGGAACCUUUUCACGCUGCGAGGGUUCAGCUUGGCUUCGGCUUAGUGUAUUCCCUCGUUUUGCGGACCAGCAUCAGUUUGCUUCGCAGUAUAAGGGUGAUCGGAACGUGGCUUCUCCGGAAGUGUUAUAGCCUUUCACUGGAUGCUGUGUCGCAGACUGAGGACUGCAGUGCGCCGUAAGGCAUGGUCUUCGGGCCACGAGCACUUAGGAUGCUGGGCGAAUGGGUUUCAACGACCCGUCUUGAAACACGGACCAAGGAG